This 906-nucleotide ribosomal RNA is filed under the name Monilinia fructigena. Its description in RNAcentral is "LSU rRNA". It matches the Rfam family "Eukaryotic large subunit ribosomal RNA", at positions 38 to 962 of the family's 3401-position model. The record is from RNAcentral. Lineage: Eukaryota; Fungi; Ascomycota; Leotiomycetes; Helotiales; Sclerotiniaceae.
GCAUAUCAAUAAGCGGAGGAAAAGAAACCAACAGGGAUUACCUCAGUAACGGCGAGUGAAGCGGUAAAAGCUCAAAUUUGAAAUCUGGCUCUUUCAGAGUCCGAGUUGUAAUUUGUAGAAGAUGCUUCGGGUGUGGUUCCGGUCUAAGUUCCUUGGAACAGGACGUCAUAGAGGGUGAGAAUCCCGUAUGUGACUGGAUACCUAUGCUCAUGUGAAGCUCUUUCGACGAGUCGAGUUGUUUGGGAAUGCAGCUCAAAAUGGGUGGUAUAUUUCAUCUAAAGCUAAAUAUUGGCCAGAGACCGAUAGCGCACAAGUAGAGUGAUCGAAAGAUGAAAAGCACUUUGGAAAGAGAGUUAAACAGUACGUGAAAUUGUUGAAAGGGAAGCGCUUGCAAUCAGACUUGCACUUGGUGUUCAUCGGGGUUUCUACCCCGUGUACUUCAUCAAGUUCAGGCCAGCAUCAGUUUGGGUGGUUAGAUAAAGGCUUAGAGAAUGUGGCCCUCUUCGGGGGGUGUUAUAGCUCUAGGUGCAAUGUAGCCUACCUGGACUGAGGACCGCGCUUCGGCUAGGAUGCUGGCGUAAUGGUUGUAAGCGACCCGUCUUGAAACACGGACCAAGGAGUGUACCUAAUAUGCGAGUGUUUGGGUGUUAAACCCAUACGCGUAAUGAAAGUGAACGGAGGUGAGAGCCCUUAAGGGUGCAUCAUCGACCGAUCCUGAUGUCUUCGGAUGGAUUUGAGUAAGAGCAUAUUGGGUGCGACCCGAAAGAUGGUGAUCUAUACGUGAAUAGGGUGAAGCCAGAGGAAACUCUGGUGGAGGCUCGCAGCGGUUCUGACGUGCAAAUCGAUCGUCAAAUUUGCGUAUAGGGGCGAAAGACUAAUCGAACCAUCUAGUAGCUGGUUCCUGCG